UGCGGGGUAGGGGAGCGUUCUGUAAGCCGUUGAAGGUGGUCUGUAAGGGCUGCUGGAGGUAUCAGAAGUGCGAAUGCUGACAUGAGUAACGAUAAUGGGGGUGAAAAACCCCCACGCCGGAAGACCAAGGGUUCCUGUCCAACGUUAAUCGGGGCAGGGUAAGUCGACCCCUAAGGCGAGGCCGAAAGGCGUAGUCGAUGGGAAACGGGUUAAUAUUCCCGUACUUCUUAUAAUUGCGAUGGGGGGACGGAGAAGGCUAGGUGGGCCUGGCGAUGGUUGUCCAGGUUCAAGUAUGUAGGCGGAAAGUUUAGGUAAAUCCGGACUUUCUUAACGCUGAGAUACGAUGUCGAGCUGCUACGUGCAGUGAAGUCAUUGAUGCCAUGCUUCCAGGAAAAGCCUCUAAGCUUCAGAUUAUAAGGAAUCGUACUCCAAACCGACACAGGUGGUCGGGUAGAGAAUACCAAGGCGCUUGAGAGAACUCGGGUGAAGGAACUAGGCAAAAUGGUACCGUAACUUCGGGAGAAGGUACGCUCUUGGCGGUGAAGUCCCUUGCGGAUGGAGCUACUAGGAGUCGCAGAUACCAGGUGGCUGCAACUGUUUAUUAAAAACACAGCACUGUGCAAAAUCGUAAGAUGACGUAUACGGUGUGACGCCUGCCCGGUGCCGGAAGGUUAAUUGAUGGGGUUAGACUUAGGUCGAAGCUCUUGAUCGAAGCCCCGGUAAACGGCGGCCGUAACUAUAACGGUCCUAAGGUAGCGAAAUUCCUUGUCGGGUAAGUUCCGACCUGCACGAAUGGCGUAAUGAUGGCCACGCUGUCUCCACCCGAGACUCAGUGAAAUUGAAAUCGCUGUGAAGAUGCAGUGUACCCGCGGCUAGACGGAAAGACCCCGUGAACCUUUACUACAGCUUGGCACUGAACAUUGACCCUACAUGUGUAGGAUAGGUGGGAGCCUUUGAA
This 958-nucleotide ribosomal RNA is filed under the name Vibrio sp. B1Z05. Its description in RNAcentral is "partial 23S ribosomal RNA". It matches the Rfam family "Bacterial large subunit ribosomal RNA", at positions 1222 to 2161 of the family's 2925-position model. Lineage: Bacteria; Pseudomonadati; Pseudomonadota; Gammaproteobacteria; Vibrionales; Vibrionaceae. The record is from RNAcentral.